UACGAAGGGGGCUAGCGUUGCUCGGAAUUACUGGGCGUAAAGGGCGCGUAGGCGGUUUGGACAGUCAGAUGUGAAAUUCCUGGGCUCAACCUGGGGACUGCGCUUGAUACGGCAGAGCUUGAGGAUGGAAGAGGGUCGCGGAAUUCCUGGUGUAGCGGUGAAAUGCGCAGAUAUCAGGAGGAACACCAAUGGCGAAGGCAGCUCGCUGGGACGGUACUGACGCUGAGACGCGAAAGCGUGGGGAGCAAACAGG
Molecule: ribosomal RNA, 253 nt
Filed under: uncultured bacterium
Lineage: Bacteria
Description: partial 16S ribosomal RNA
Rfam family: Bacterial small subunit ribosomal RNA
Source: RNAcentral